ACCCUAGUUUGGGUAGUCAUAAAAUCACUGGACCCUGUUGGCUUGGUGGCCGAGCACAGAGCAGAAACGUCGAAUUCGAAUCCUUCCCUGCUUCGUUUCUGGUUUAGAGCGAGUCUUGGCAUCCCUCCCGUCAAACGUCGCCUGCUCGAAUCCCAAUCUCCGAAAAAUCCUACGUCUUUUGCAGAACAAACUGCAAACACUCUCCCCAACUUUCUGCCACCUGCAAUCCCAGGCCUCGCUCCUCCACCCUCUCAACUCUCAGACCUCAUGACCACCGCCUGGCUCGCCAUAAGCUUGAAUACCGUCAAGAGGCUGACCAUUGAGCCAAUAUUCCCCUAUCCGCUUGAUUGAUUCCGCUGCAGAUAGGGGACUUCUCUUUUCCGGCGACUUGUUUCUGUCGGAAUUAGAGCUUCCCUUUCCCACGUCCAUUAGCCCUCCACCACGCCGCCAGUUACGUCCCGCUACCGGACUCUCUGGAUUUUCUCAAUAAUCGAGUUCCUUUCGUCGUGGUUACAGCUACUACUGUUGAUCUUGUUGCCUCUUAAGCUGGCUUCCUGACCACCCCCCCUCCC
Molecule: small RNA, 572 nt
Filed under: Histoplasma capsulatum var. duboisii H88
Lineage: Eukaryota; Fungi; Ascomycota; Eurotiomycetes; Onygenales; Ajellomycetaceae
Description: Histoplasma capsulatum H88 hypothetical RNA
Source: RNAcentral